AGCGAACGCUGGCGGCAGGCUUAACACAUGCAAGUCGAACAGUAAGGCCCUUCGGGGUACACGAGUGGCGAACGGGCGAGUAACACGUGGGUGAUCUGCCCUGCACUUCGGGAUAAGCCUGGGAAACUGGGUCUAAUACCGGAUAGGACUCCGGACUGCAUGGUCUGGGGUGGAAAGCCUUUGCGGUGUGGGAUGGGCCCGCGGCCUAUCAGCUUGUUGGUGGGGUGAUGGCCUACCAAGGCGACGACGGGUAGCCGGCCUGAGAGGGUGACCGGCCACACUGGGACUGAGAUACGGCCCAGACUCCUACGGGAGGCAGCAGUGGGGAAUAUUGCACAAUGGGCGCAAGCCUGAUGCAGCGACGCCGCGUGAGGGAUGACGGCCUUCGGGUUGUAAACCUCUUUCAGCAUCGACGAAGCGAAAGUGACGGUAGGUGCAGAAGAAGGACCGGCCAACUACGUGCCAGCCGCCGCUGUAA
RNAcentral lists this ribosomal RNA (478 nucleotides) under uncultured bacterium. RNAcentral's name for it is "partial 16S ribosomal RNA". It matches the Rfam family "Bacterial small subunit ribosomal RNA", at positions 28 to 523 of the family's 1533-position model. The record is from RNAcentral.